Long non-coding RNA from Myodes glareolus (Bank vole), 2228 nucleotides. RefSeq lists it as uncharacterized. The record is from RefSeq and is a predicted model, not a curated record. NCBI's taxonomy places the organism in Eukaryota, Metazoa, Chordata, Mammalia, Rodentia, Cricetidae.
UGGUAAGAGAAAGGGAUAUGGGAUUAUCCUCUGUAUGCUGUGAAUACAACUGGUUAAUAAAGAGUUUGUCUUGGACAUGGUAGAGCAGAAUAGAGAACUAUGGAUUCAAUGCCUUGUCCAAUCAGUUGUCUGGUUCUUAUCCUUUGGUCUAGAAGAACAACGUGGUCUUUAUUUAGAAAUACCAGAUUCCUCAACAUGGACCAGCUUUCAGUUAUACGUCCACGUUCUGCUUCACAGAGAAGGAAUACAAAGCUUGCCUCGGCAAGUUACACAUACUGAAGAACUUAAUUGAAUGGCAGGCACAGUGAGACCCCAGAGAGGCUUCUCCUUCAGUGGAAUGACCCUUAAUGACCUUAGCUGCCUGAGGACAGACCUGAAACAGCAUAUGAUUCUAUUUGUGACAAGCUACUGAGAGAGAAUAGCUGACUGGAAACUUCGGAUUUUAUCUAACCUGGAGAGUAAUCACCACUGUCUGUGGUGCUGCAAUGACACCAAAAGCAGGAUUUAGUUUCUCCUGCUGAGUUCAAAAUGUCUGAAAUAAAAAGGAAAUAUGUACAGAGAUACUGCAAGACAUGAAAUGGGGAAUUAUUUUUAAAUUAAUUAUCAAGGAGAAAAACUGCCAUUUCUAAAUACUCUGUGUGAGAAUAAAUUGAAAGGCAAAAUAAUGCCUACCAUAUGCAAGCAUAAAUACCUUAGAAAAAUAAAUCAUUGAAAUGAUUUGGCACACACUAGAGAAUGAGCCUACUGAGAAGGGAGCAGGGACUCAGCUGACAUUUCUAUCUAGUGUUUGAGCUUCCCUAAAUUCCCUUUUCUGUGUGUUUUCAUCAAAUACUUGCCUCAAAGGACCAAUUCUACAAAAUGCUGUAAAAACAAGAAAUGAGAAAAGAGUGAAUGACCAGAGCUAAUGAUAAUAAGUGCAUAAGCAGAGCAAACAUUUAGAAAUAGCAAAUUCUUCCAGAACAGAAGUCGUUUCUAAAGGUAUAAAUCCAUUUUCAUCAUUCUUUUGGAACAAAGAAUACAUUGAAACCUGAAUAUUGGCUAUUGAUCUUUCACCAGAAAUACUUGGUCUUUAUUUCUAAUUCCCAAAAGAAGAGGUUAAUUCCAAAUGAAACAAAAAUAGAAAUUUGCAGACAUCGGUGACAGAACCCAAAAUAUCUUAUCUGUGGUAGCUGUGAUGCAAAAUAAAUGCAAAGUCCUCCUCUAAAUUCAAUGUCAGGGUGAAGGUGUGCUGCUAGUGUUUGUGACUUCACAGUGGUCUGCAUUCAUGGUCUCUGCCUUUGUCUGAGAUCCCUUCCUCUAUCAUUAUACAUCUUCCAUAUGUGAGAACAUAGGAGUUACUAUUGAUUAAAUUCAGUACCACCAAAUUCAUAUGUUUAGGUCCUAAACCAUGUACUUAAAGUAUGACGUUAUUUGUAUAUAGAGCCUAUGUAGACAUAACUACUCAACAGGGGAUCUACUUCAGUGUUGAUGCUCAUGAAAAAAAGAAUACGGGUGAAGACUCUAAGUCUGCUGUUUCAAGUCUGGGAACCAAGAAAACAACCUGGAUCAUAUCUUUUCUUGGUUCCUUUCAGAGAACACUAUCAACCGAUAACUUUAUUGUUAGCUUACAGCUCCAGAAGUGAGUUGAUACACUUUGGUUAUUUAAAUCAAUCACUUUGCAGUAUUGGGAACUUCCAGAAUGGGAUUGUGUACACAGGAUAGAUUGGUGACUCACAGCUUUGCAUCCUUCCCUUGUCAAGUAUGUGAACCAAGUCAGUCAUCAGAGGAUGAUUAGCCUCACUUUACAACUAAACCUAUCGAUGACAACUAAACCUAUCGAUGACAAAAUGUUCAAUGGCAACACCAUUCAAGACUAUAUUGGGAUAGUAUUGAAACAGUUUUAUAAAUUUUGAAGUACUCUAAAAUCAUGCAAAAAAAUACCAAAAUAACAUUAAUAUGUAACCACUGGGUCUUACCAUUGCAGAAGAUAUAGCAUUACCACAAAUGAUAAGGACCUGGAAUACAAUGUAUUCACUUUCUUGGUUAAAUCAGAGAAUCCGGUGGAACUAUAAUUAUAAUCCUGAGAUACAGCAUAAUACAGCAAAGAACACCCACUGCUGAGACCAGAAGUCUCAACAAACAACAGCUUCACAAGCUACUAUAUUAACAGUCCCUUAAUAAAUAUUGUCUCCUAAGUAUGAAUGUUACUAGCAUUAAAAACAAGGGAAAAUUAAAUCUCAUAAACUGCA